RNAcentral lists this non-coding RNA (26 nucleotides) under Mus musculus (house mouse). The record is from RNAcentral. Lineage: Eukaryota; Metazoa; Chordata; Mammalia; Rodentia; Muridae.
UGAGUGGUGGCCUGUGGUGAGUGGUC